Long non-coding RNA from Homo sapiens (human), 292 nucleotides. RefSeq lists it as uncharacterized. The transcript is spliced from 3 exons. The record is from RefSeq and is a predicted model, not a curated record. NCBI's taxonomy places the organism in Eukaryota, Metazoa, Chordata, Mammalia, Primates, Hominidae.
GUUCGGUGUGUAUUUCAAAAUUGCCAUCUUUUCUCUCUCUGCAUUGGAAGCAUAAUGGGAUUUCUUCACCAAUCUUCAGCACAAAAAUCUGGUGGGGUUCCUGGAGAUAAUAAAGGCUACUAUAAGCUUUAUAGAUUCAACAUGCUUACUCUCAGCAUCACCCAGGAUGAUCUUGUACAGUACAAAUCAGAAAAUGGGAUAUUAAGGCUCAACACCAUGUGGAAGCUGCCAAGGCAUGGGGCUUGCAUGCUCUGAAGCCACACCCGAGCUGUUCUUGACCCCUUUUAGUCAU